GACGAACGCUGGCGGCGCGCUUAACACAUGCGAGUCGAACGGAAAGGCCUGCUUUCCCUUGUGGAUUGCGGGUACUCGAGUGGCGAACGGGUGAGUAACACGUGAGUGAUCUGCCCCCAACUUGGGUAUAAGCCUGGGAAACUGGGUCUAAUUCCCGAUAGGACUGCAGGGUGGUGCCUGUGGUGGAAAACGAUUUUCUAGUGGUUGGGGAUGAGCUCGCGGCCUAUCAGCUUGUUGGUGGGGUAAUGGCCUACCAAGGCGGCGACGGGUAGCCGGCCUGAGAGGGUGGACGGCCACAUUGGGACUGAGAUACGGCCCAGACUCCUACGGGAGGCAGCAGUGGGGAAUAUUGCACAAUGGGCGGAGGCCUGAUGCAGCGACGCCGCGUGGGGGAUGACGGCCUUCGGGUUGUAAACUCCUUUCGACCGCGAGGAAGCCACCUGGUUGGAAGGGUGGUGACGGUAGUGGUAGAAGAAGCACCGGCUAACUACGUG
This 494-nucleotide ribosomal RNA is filed under the name uncultured bacterium. Its description in RNAcentral is "partial 16S ribosomal RNA". It matches the Rfam family "Bacterial small subunit ribosomal RNA", at positions 28 to 507 of the family's 1533-position model. The record is from RNAcentral.